RNAcentral lists this long non-coding RNA (508 nucleotides) under Homo sapiens (human). Its description in RNAcentral is "non-protein coding MIR99AHG:70". Lineage: Eukaryota; Metazoa; Chordata; Mammalia; Primates; Hominidae. The record is from RNAcentral.
GCUUUUGGGUGUUGGACAACCAUAGGCAAAACUGAAAUGGAACAGGGGCAGAAAAUAGCACACUUUUACUCUACGCAACUGUUGCUUUUUCAUGAUCUUCAGGAAUUUUACUGGGAUAAUUAUCCAAAUAAAUUGCAAGCAUUCUAUCCAAAUGGAGCUCUUUCUGAGAUGAAGAGAAUUCUCAAUGUCAAGAUUUGAACAAGAAGAGAAUGGAAUACACAAUAUGGGAAAAACUUAAAAUGGAUAUGAAAAGUGAAGAAAGUGAUCAUAGGAGAAAACCAUUUCAGAUGACAAGAGCACCUCAAAGGCAGCAGCCUCAAGGAGCAGCCAUGGCCCCAGACUUGUCGCACGGAUGCAGAAAACUUAAUGGAGGAGGCUGAGCAAAACAGAGCGUGACACUCCCAAUCAUCUGCAUGCUGGAAAUGAGGAAAUGGUUAUUGAAUGAUACAAGUGCUUUUCGAUCAUUUAGAAAGUUCUGUUUCCCAAGAUCUUUUUUUUUUUUUUUUUU